Bos taurus (domestic cattle) is the source of this 74-nucleotide non-coding RNA. The record is from Rfam. Lineage: Eukaryota; Metazoa; Chordata; Mammalia; Artiodactyla; Bovidae.
GUCUCUGUGGCACAAUCGGUUAGCGCUCUCGGCUGUUAACCGAAAGGCUGGUGGUUCGAGCCCACCCAGGGACU